RNAcentral lists this ribosomal RNA (428 nucleotides) under uncultured Caulobacter sp. Its description in RNAcentral is "partial 16S ribosomal RNA". The stretch from base 4 to 299 matches the Rfam family "Bacterial small subunit ribosomal RNA", at positions 50 to 357 of the family's 1533-position model. Lineage: Bacteria; Pseudomonadati; Pseudomonadota; Alphaproteobacteria; Caulobacterales; Caulobacteraceae. The record is from RNAcentral.
GCCUACACUUACAAGUCGAACGGAUCCUUCGGGAUUUAUGGCGGACGGGUGAGUACGAGAACGUGCCCUUUGGUUCGGAACAACUCAGUGAAACUUGAGCUAAUACCGGAUGAUAUCGCAAGAUCAAAGAUUUAUCUGCCAUAUGGAGCCUGCCCGCGAUCUGAUUAGCUAGAUUGGUGGGGUAAAGGCCCACCAAUAGCGACAGACUCAGUAAGCUGUGUCUAGAAGAAGGAAUGACUCAUGUCCACAUUUGUGGGACUUGAUGACACUGGAUCCAAUACGUCCCUACGUGGGAGUGCACGCACGAUGGGGGGAAAUCUUUGCCGCCACUUGGGCGGAACAAGCCCUUGACCGCCAGCCAUGCCCGUGCUGAAUGACUGAAGGUCUUACAGACUGAAAAAAUCUCUCCACCGUAGGGACCGAUACAU